UACGUAUGGUGCAAGCGUUAUCCGGAUUUACUGGGUGUGAAGGGAGCGUAGGCGGCGCGUUAAGUCUGAUGUGAAAACCCGAGGCUCAACCACGGGAGUGCAUUGGAAACUGGCGAGCUGGAGUGCCGGAGAGGUAAGCGGAAUUCCUAGUGUAGCGGUGAAAUGCGUAGAUAUUAGGAGGAACACCAGUGGCGGAGGCGGCUUACUGGACGGCAACUGACGCUGAGGCUCGAAAGCGUGGGGAGCAAACAGG
This 253-nucleotide ribosomal RNA is filed under the name uncultured bacterium. Its description in RNAcentral is "partial 16S ribosomal RNA". It matches the Rfam family "Bacterial small subunit ribosomal RNA", at positions 524 to 776 of the family's 1533-position model. The record is from RNAcentral.